GAUGAACGCUGGCGGCGUGCCUAAUACAUGCAAGUCGAGCGAACGGACGAGAAGCUUGCUUUUCUGAUGUUAGCGGCGGACGGGUGAGUAACACGUGGAUAACCUACCUAUAAGACUGGGAUAACUUCGGGAAACCGGAGCUAAUACCGGAUAAUAUUUUGAACCGCAUGGUUCAAAAGUGAAAGACGGUCUUGCUGUCACUUAUAGAUGGAUCCGCGCUGCAUUAGCUAGUUGGUAAGGUAACGGCUUACCAAGGCAACGAUGCAUAGCCGACCUGAGAGGGGGAUCGGCCACACGGGAACUGAGACACGGUCCAGACUCCUACGGGAGGCAGCAGUAGGGAAUCUUCCGCAAUGGGCGAAAGCCUGACGGAGCAACGCCGCGUGAGUGAUGAAGGUCUUCGGAUCGUAAAACUCGGUUAUUAGGGAAGAACAUAUGUGUAAGUAACUGUGCACAUCUUGACGGUACCUAAUCAGAAAGCCACGGCUAACUACGUG
Molecule: ribosomal RNA, 497 nt
Filed under: uncultured bacterium
Lineage: Bacteria
Description: partial 16S ribosomal RNA
Rfam family: Bacterial small subunit ribosomal RNA
Source: RNAcentral